AUGAGUGUGCCCACUCAACUCCUGGGGUUGCUGCUGCUGUGGCUUACAGACGCAGGAUGUGACAUCCAGAUGACUCAGUCUCCAGCCUCCCUGGCUGCAUCUGUGGGAGAAACUGUCACCAUCACAUGUCGAGCAAGUGAGAACAUUUACUACAGUUUAGCAUGGUAUCAGCAGAAGCAAGGGAAAUCUCCUCAGCUCCUGAUCUAUAAUGCAAACAGCUUGGAAGAUGGUGUCCCAUCGAGGUUCAGUGGCAGUGGAUCUGGGACACAGUAUUCUAUGAAGAUCAACAGCAUGCAGCCUGAAGAUACCGCAACUUAUUUCUGUAAACAGGCUUAUGACGUUCCUCC
Molecule: non-coding RNA, 347 nt
Organism: Mus musculus (house mouse)
Lineage: Eukaryota; Metazoa; Chordata; Mammalia; Rodentia; Muridae
Source: the annotation of a RefSeq genome assembly